GCAUGUGCACGCUCUGUUCAUGCAUCCACUCACACCUGUGCACCCUCCGUAGUUCUAUGGUCUGGGGGACACCUUGUCUUCCUCCUGUAGUUCUAUGUCUUUACAUGUACACCGUAGCGAAGUCUUAUGGAAUGUGCACCGCGUUUAACGCAAUAUAAUACAACUUUCAGCAACGGAUCUCUUGGCUCUCGCAUCGAUGAAGAACGCAGCGAAAUGCGAUAAGUAAUGUGAAUUGCAGAAUUCAGUGAAUCAUCGAAUCUUUGAACGCACCUUGCGCCCCUUGGCUAUUCCGAGGGGCAUGCCUGUUUGAGUAUCAUGAACACCUCAACUCUCAUGGUUUGCCAUGAUGAGCUUGGACUUUGGGGGUUUUGCUGGCCUGCGGUCAGCUCCUCUCAAACGGAUCAGCUUACCAGUAUUUGGUGGCAUCAUGGGUGUGAUAAUUAUCUACACUUGUGGUUGUCUGCUGAGUAACCUUUGGCGACAGGGGUUUGCUGGAGCUUAUAAAUGUCUCUCCCCAGCGAAGACAGCUUUUUGACCGUUCGAUCUCAAAUCAGGUAGGACUACCCGCUGA
This 571-nucleotide ribosomal RNA is filed under the name uncultured Tomentella. Its description in RNAcentral is "eukaryotic LSU rRNA". The stretch from base 162 to 316 matches the Rfam family "5.8S ribosomal RNA". The record is from RNAcentral. Lineage: Eukaryota; Fungi; Basidiomycota; Agaricomycetes; Thelephorales; Thelephoraceae.